Molecule: long non-coding RNA, 373 nt
Filed under: Elaeis guineensis (African oil palm)
Lineage: Eukaryota; Viridiplantae; Streptophyta; Magnoliopsida; Arecales; Arecaceae
Description: long non-coding RNA (EGUI_LNC069170)
Source: RNAcentral
ACCCCUUUCCUUCUCCCAUCUCCCUUGCAUGCCCAAAGGGUUGGGUAUCCUCAUCUCCACUAGCCCAAAAUAGUUAGACAAAUUUUCUUGUGCCAAGAAGAAAAGAAGGUAUGAUCUCAAUUGUUAAGAUCAUGAGAAAGAGGAUCAAGUGUUGAUCCAGGAUCCAGAAAGGCUUGGUAUAAGAAUGAUCCAAGGUUGAUCCUGAUGGAUACCUAUAGAGAUCGGGCACAUUCGUGGCUCCACAAGUGAACCUUCUUCAGAUCCACGAUAUACAGAUUGUGGUGUUCAUCUACCCACACAAGGUGAUGAGAUCAUCUCUCUCUAUUUUAUAUGCUGAUAUAAAUGCUUAAUAAAUCUGAUUAAGAUCUAUGCC